Molecule: long non-coding RNA, 466 nt
Filed under: Vigna radiata
Lineage: Eukaryota; Viridiplantae; Streptophyta; Magnoliopsida; Fabales; Fabaceae
Description: long non-coding RNA (VRAD_LNC016079)
Source: RNAcentral
UUUCAUUUUUUUCUUUUAUGUUCAUUUUAUAUUCUUAAAUUGAUCAUUGUUCGUUAGCUAUGUUUUUUUACCUUGUUGGUCGUUGUAGUAUAGGUUAGUCUAGUUUUAACUUUGGGUCAGUUGUCUUGGGUAAUUUUGCUCUAUUUUCUGAUUGUUUCCAUUAUAGGUGCUUAGAUUUUGAUUUCUUAAUUUUGUUCUUUAGUUUUUACAUGUUACUCCCUUCACCAUUUACUAUAGCUAUUUCAAUUACUCGUUCUACAUUUCAUUUUUACAUGUUGCUCUCCAUUGAUAAGAAUAAUGUCUUUAAGUUCCAUUAUCAUACAUGAUUUUUUUUCCUGAGCAUCUAUAUCUUCUAUACAGUUUCUGUUUUCAUCACAUUAUCUUGCAUUCAUUUAGAUUUAGUAGAUUUAUGCAUUAUUAGUUAGUUAGUAUUACAUUAGAUUUCAUUUUAUAUUUUUUCCCCACC